UUCCUAUGGAGGCUUCCUCAAAGGAUGGGCUUGUCGUGUAUUUCUACCUGGAAUCAUGAUCAACUUGAUCGGAUAUGGGCGAUUAAAGGAAGACGGCCACCUUAUAAGCUCGAAAAAUUUGUGAGAUUUUUGCCUGCGCUUCCUGGGACAAAUACUUGUGGGCAACUCUUAACAGAUUUUCCAGUCAUACUCGAGAGACUAGGGUGAUACGGUGUGGAAUAAUGGGCAUGGUGUUGGAUCAAACCUAGCAUCUUUAUCGUUAAACUCCCCAUAUUUUCAGAGAUAGAAAAUGGAAAUUACCCGCGAAAGCAAUUCCGGGAAGCAAAAGCUUCCAGUAACCUUCGGAUCUAGUGUUUUUGAUCGAGCAUCUCAGAGCCUCUGUGAUCACAGUUUGCAUCCUCAGGGUAUUGCUGAAAGCGUAAACUCUUCUCAGAAAGUUCUUAUACAUGUCACCGGGAGGACAUUUUCUCCCUUUUCUUUUGCUGAAUA
Molecule: non-coding RNA, 489 nt
Organism: Punica granatum (pomegranate)
Lineage: Eukaryota; Viridiplantae; Streptophyta; Magnoliopsida; Myrtales; Lythraceae
Source: RefSeq, a predicted model, not a curated record